UACGAAGGGGGCAAGCGUUGUUCGGAAUUACUGGGCGUAAAGGGCGUCUAGGUGGUUAUAUAAGUUGGAUGUGAAAGCCCUCGGCUCAACCGAGGAAUUGCCUCCAAAACUGUAUAACUAGAGUAUGAGAGGGGAAAGCGGAAUUCCUAGUGUAGCGGUGAAAUGCGUAGAUAUUAGGAGGAACACCAGCGGCGAAGGCG
This 200-nucleotide ribosomal RNA is filed under the name uncultured bacterium. RNAcentral describes it as "partial 16S ribosomal RNA". It matches the Rfam family "Bacterial small subunit ribosomal RNA", at positions 524 to 723 of the family's 1533-position model. The record is from RNAcentral.